Molecule: ribosomal RNA, 600 nt
Filed under: uncultured bacterium
Lineage: Bacteria
Description: bacterial SSU rRNA
Rfam family: Bacterial small subunit ribosomal RNA
Source: RNAcentral
GCCUUUACUGACGCUAAAGCUCGAAGGUGCGGGUAUCGAACAGGAUUAGAUACCCUGGUAGUCCGCACGGUAAACGAUGGAUGCCCGCUGUUUGCGAUAUACUGUGAGCGGCCAAGAGAAAUCGUUAAGCAUCCCACCUGGGGAGUACGCCGGCAACGGUGAAACUCAAAGGAAUUGACGGGGGCCCGCACAAGCGGAGGAACAUGUGGUUUAAUUCGAUGAUACGCGAGGAACCUUACCCGGGCUUGAACUGCAGAGGAAGGAUCUGGAGACAGUGACGCCCUUCGGGGCCUCUGUGGAGGUGCUGCAUGGUUGUCGUCAGCUCGUGCCGUGAGGUGUCGGCUUAAGUGCCAUAACGAGCGCAACCCCUUUCAUUAGUUGCCAUCACUUCGGGUGGGCACUCUGGUGAUACUGCCACCGUAAGGUGUGAGGAAGGUGGGGAUGACGUCAAAUCAGCACGGCCCUUACGUCCGGGGCUACACACGUGUUACAAUGGGUGAUACAGAGGGCAGGUGCAUGGCAAUGUGCAUCAAAUCUUGAAAGUCAUCCCCACCUUCGAUUGGGGUCUGCAACCCGACCCCAUGAAGCUGGAUUCGCUAG